CGGGUGAGUAAUGUAUGGGGAUCUGCCUGAUGGCGGGGGAUAACUACUGGAAACGGUAGCUAAUACCGCAUAGUGUCUACGGACCAAAGCGGGGGACCUCCGGGCCUCGCGCCAUCAGAUGAACCCAUAUGGGAUUAGCUAGUAGGUGAGGUAACGGCUUACCUAGGCGACGAUCCCUAGCUGGUCUGAGAGGAUGAUCAGCCACACUGGGACUGAGACACGGCCCAG
RNAcentral lists this ribosomal RNA (228 nucleotides) under uncultured bacterium. RNAcentral describes it as "partial 16S ribosomal RNA". It matches the Rfam family "Bacterial small subunit ribosomal RNA", at positions 103 to 334 of the family's 1533-position model. The record is from RNAcentral.